This 262-nucleotide unclassified non-coding RNA is filed under the name Hevea brasiliensis (rubber tree). Lineage: Eukaryota; Viridiplantae; Streptophyta; Magnoliopsida; Malpighiales; Euphorbiaceae. The record is from RNAcentral.
GCAGUUAGAUGAGCUUGGGGACACUAGUACACUUGCAGACCCAACUGUGGUUGAUCAGCUUAUUGCACUUGCUGAUUGCUAAAGUAACAACUUCUAAAUAUAGUGAAGUUAGAGGUUAAGCUGACUGUGCUGGUAGAGAUUGGUAUUUUGUUUCUGUUUUACUGUGAGUACCUUUUUCCUCCAAAUUUGAAACAACUUAUGGUUAACACACUUUUGAAGAUCAGGUUACAUUUAAAAUCAAGAAAUAAAAAAUCAAGAUGUG